UUGUAGCCUUGCUAUGGUAUAAUUUAGUGGCAGACGGGUGAGUAAUGUAUAGGAAUCUACCUAGUAGUACGGAAUAAUUGUUGGAAACGACAACUAAUACCGUAUACGCCCUACGGGGGAAAAAUUUAUUGCUAUUAGAUGAGCCUAUAUUAGAUUAGCUAGUUGGUGGGGUAAUAGCCUACCAAGGUAAUGAUCUAUAGCUGAUCUGAGAGGAUGAUCAGCCACACUGGAACUGAGAUACGGUCCAGACUCCUACGGGAGGCAGCAGUGGGGAAUAUUGGACAAUGGGCGAAAGCCUGAUCCAGCCAUGCCGCAUGAGUGAAGAAGGCCUUUGGGUUGUAAAGCUCUUUUAGUGAGGAAGAUAAUGACGGUACUCACAGAAGAAGUCCUGGCUAACUCCGUGCCAGCAGCCGCGGUAAUACGGAGAGGGCUAGCGUUAUUCGGAAUUAUUGGGCGUAAAGGGCGCGUAGGCUGGUUAAUAAGUUAAAAGUGAAAUCCCGAGGCUUAACCUUGGAAUUGCUUUUAAAACUAUUAAUCUAGAGAUUGAAAGAGGAUAGAGGAAUUCCUGAUGUAGAGGUAAAAUUCGUAAAUAUUAGGAGGAACACCAGUGGCGAAGGCGUCUAUCUGGUUCAAAUCUGACGCUGAAGCGCGAAGGCGUGGGGAGCAAACAGGAUUAGAUACCCUGGUAGUCCACGCUGUAAACGAUGAAUGUUAAAUAUGGGGAGUUUACUUUCUGUAUUACAGCUAACGCGUUAAACAUUCCGCCUGGGGACUACGGUCGCAAGAUUAAAACUCAAAGGAAUUGACGGGGACCCGCACAAGCGGUGGAGCAUGUGGUUUAAUUCGAUGCAACGCGAAAAACCUUA
Molecule: ribosomal RNA, 866 nt
Filed under: Wolbachia pipientis
Lineage: Bacteria; Pseudomonadati; Pseudomonadota; Alphaproteobacteria; Rickettsiales; Anaplasmataceae
Description: bacterial SSU rRNA
Rfam family: Bacterial small subunit ribosomal RNA
Source: RNAcentral